GACGAACGCUGGCGGCGUGCUUAACACAUGCAAGUCGAACGAAGUGGCGAACGGGUGAGUAAUACGUGGGUAACCUGCCCUCCUUUUUGGGAUAAGCCUUGGAAACGGGGUCUAAUACCGAAUAUAGGGGGUUGGGCUAGCGGUUUAUCAGCUUGUUGGGGGGGUGAUGGCCUACCAAGGCGGUGACGGGUAGUCGGCCGGAGAGGGUGACCUGCCACAUUGGGACUGAGAUACGGCCCAGACUCCUACGGGAGGCAGCAGUGGGGGAUAUUGCACAAUGGGCGAAAGCCUGAUGCAGCGACGCCGCGUGAGUGAAGAAGGUUUUCGGAUCGUAAAGCUCUGUUGUUAGAGAGGGAGGAUCUAACCAGGAAGCCACGGCUAACUACGUGCCAGCAGCCGCGGUAAUUC
This 408-nucleotide ribosomal RNA is filed under the name uncultured bacterium. Its description in RNAcentral is "partial 16S ribosomal RNA". It matches the Rfam family "Bacterial small subunit ribosomal RNA", at positions 28 to 526 of the family's 1533-position model. The record is from RNAcentral.